AAUUUUCAACGAUGGAUGUCUUGGCUCCCAUAACGAUGAAGAACGCAGCGAAAAUGCGAUAUGCAAUGUGAAUUGCAGAACUACGAAUCAUUUGAUCUUUGAACGCAAAUGGCACAGACCGAAUACGUCUGUAUACUUGUUUCAGUGUGC
This 150-nucleotide ribosomal RNA is filed under the name Rimaleptus binucleatus. Its description in RNAcentral is "5.8S ribosomal RNA". It matches the Rfam family "5.8S ribosomal RNA". Rfam says of the family: 5.8S ribosomal RNA (5.8S rRNA) is a component of the large subunit of the eukaryotic ribosome. Lineage: Eukaryota; Ciliophora; Litostomatea; Haptorida; Dimacrocaryonidae. The record is from RNAcentral.